RNAcentral lists this ribosomal RNA (253 nucleotides) under uncultured bacterium. RNAcentral's name for it is "partial 16S ribosomal RNA". It matches the Rfam family "Bacterial small subunit ribosomal RNA", at positions 524 to 776 of the family's 1533-position model. The record is from RNAcentral.
UACAGAGGUCCCAAGCGUUGUUCGGAUUCACUGGGCGUAAAGGGUGCGUAGGUGGUCGGGUAAGUCUGAUGUGAAAUCUCCGAGCUUAACUCGGAAAUGGCAUUGGAUACUAUUCGGCUAGAGGGUUGGAGGGGGGACUGGAAUACUUGGUGUAGCAGUGAAAUGCGUAGAUAUCAAGUGGAACACCAGUGGCGAAGGCGAGUCCCUGGACAACUCCUGACACUGAGGCACGAAAGCUAGGGGAGCAAACAGG